Molecule: non-coding RNA, 157 nt
Organism: Myotis brandtii (Brandt's bat)
Lineage: Eukaryota; Metazoa; Chordata; Mammalia; Chiroptera; Vespertilionidae
Source: Rfam
UCACCUAGGGAAACCCCCUCGCAUUGUAUUGAGUGAGCCAGUAAUACAUCUGUUCCCUCCGGGACAGGACUCUGUCCGGAGAUAGAUGCCCCCCUUCCUUGGCUUCCAGUGCCCAGGGGUCUCUCCCCCUUGGCAGGAGUCAUUGUCUCCUUUUGGC